This 499-nucleotide ribosomal RNA is filed under the name uncultured bacterium. RNAcentral describes it as "partial 16S ribosomal RNA". It matches the Rfam family "Bacterial small subunit ribosomal RNA", at positions 28 to 507 of the family's 1533-position model. The record is from RNAcentral.
GACGAACGCUGGCGGCGUGCCUAAUACAUGCAAGUCGAGCGGACCGAACAGGAGCUUGCUCUUGUUCGGUUAGCGGCGGACGGGUGAGUAACACGUGGGUAACCUGCCCGUAAGACCGGGAUAACUCCGGGAAACCGGAGCUAAUACCGGAUAACACCGAAGACCGCAUGGUCUUUGGUUGAAAGGCGGCUUCGGCUGCCACUUACGGAUGGGCCCGCGGCGCAUUAGCUAGUUGGUGAGGUAACGGCUCACCCAGGCGACGAUGCGUAGCCGGCCUGCGGUGGUGACCAGCCAGACUGGGACUGAGACACGGCCCAGACGGCUACGGGAGGCAGCAGUAGGGAAUCGUCCGGAAGGGGCGAGAGUCUGACGGAGCGGCGCCGCGGGAGCGAGGAGGGUCGUCGGGUCGUAAAUAUCGGUUGUUAGGGAAUAAGAAGCUUCGGUCGAACAGGGCGGCGGGGUGACGGUACCUAACGAGAAAGCCCCGGCUAACUACGUG